This 589-nucleotide ribosomal RNA is filed under the name uncultured bacterium. RNAcentral describes it as "bacterial SSU rRNA". It matches the Rfam family "Bacterial small subunit ribosomal RNA", at positions 202 to 812 of the family's 1533-position model. The record is from RNAcentral.
CAAAGGUGAGCCAGUACAGGAUGGACCCGCGUCUGAUUAGCUAGUUGGUAAGGUAACGGCUUACCAAGGCGACGAUCAGUAGCCGACCUGAGAGGGUGAUCGGCCACAUUGGAACUGAGACACGGUCCAAACUCCUACGGGAGGCAGCAGUGGGGAAUAUUGCACAAUGGGCGAAAGCCUGAUGCAGCAACGCCGCGUGAGUGAUGAAGGCCUUCGGGUCGUAAAACUCUGUCCUCAAGGAAGAUAAUGACGGUACUUGAGGAGGAAGCCCCGGCUAACUACGUGCCAGCAGCCGCGGUAAUACGUAGGGGGCUAGCGUUAUCCGGAUUUACUGGGCGUAAAGGGUGCGUAGGCGGUCUUUCAAGUCAGGAGUGAAAGGCUACGGCUCAACCGUAGUAAGCUCUUGAAACUGGGAGACUUGAGUGCAGGAGAGGAGAGUGGAAUUCCUAGUGUAGCGGUGAAAUGCGUAGAUAUUAGGAGGAACACCAGUUGCGAAGGCGGCUCUCUGGACUGUAACUGACGCUGAGGCACGAAAGCGUGGGGAGCAAACAGGAUUAGAUACCCUGGUAGUCCACGCUGUAAACGAUGA